AGAACUCUGCAGUUAAGUGUGCUUGGGUGAGAGUAGUACUAGGAUGGGUGAACUCUUGGGAAGUCCUCGUGUUUCAUCGC
Molecule: ribosomal RNA, 80 nt
Filed under: Arabis alpina (gray rockcress)
Lineage: Eukaryota; Viridiplantae; Streptophyta; Magnoliopsida; Brassicales; Brassicaceae
Source: RNAcentral